RNAcentral lists this ribosomal RNA (496 nucleotides) under uncultured bacterium. RNAcentral's name for it is "partial 16S ribosomal RNA". It matches the Rfam family "Bacterial small subunit ribosomal RNA", at positions 30 to 523 of the family's 1533-position model. The record is from RNAcentral.
AUUGAACGCUGGCGGAAUGCCUUACACAUGCAAGUCGAACGGUAGAGGGGGCAACCCCUCGAGAGUGGCGAACGGGUGAGUAAUAUAUCGGAACGUGCCCAGUCGUGGGGGAUAACGUAGCGAAAGUUACGCUAAUACCGCAUACGAUCUAAGGAUGAAAGCGGGGGAUCGCAAGACCUCGCGCGAUUGGAGCGGCCGAUAUCAGAAUAGGUAGUUGGUGGGGUAAAGGCUCACCAAGCCAACGAUCUGUAGCUGGUCUGAGAGGACGACCAGCCACACUGGAACGGAGACACGGUCCAGACGCCUACGGGAGGCAGCAGUGGGGAAUUUUGGACAAUGGACGCAAGUCUGAUCCAGCCAUUCCGCGUGCAGGAUGAAGGCCCUCGGGUUGUAGACUGCUUUUGUACGGAACGAAAAGGUCUCUCUUAAUACGGGGGGCUCAUGACGGUACCGUAAGAAUAAGCACCGGCUAACUACGUGCCAGCCGCCGCGGUAA